GUUUCUGAUCGUGUUUUUUGUUUCAUCGUAAAUGUUUCUAUUCGAAGAACACUGACAACUUUUUUCAAAUGAAUUUAACUGUCCGUGUUUUCAAGAUAAAAAGAAAGGAGAAAAAAAAUAACACAAAACCAAAAGUACUCAUAUGACUUGAAAUCAUAGUUAACCUUAUCUGAAUUUAGCUGUUCCUUUAAGGAGUCGUUAAGUCAAAU
RNAcentral lists this long non-coding RNA (209 nucleotides) under Mytilus galloprovincialis (Mediterranean mussel). Lineage: Eukaryota; Metazoa; Mollusca; Bivalvia; Mytilida; Mytilidae. The record is from RNAcentral.